AUGAAGCCCUUCGGGGUGGAUUAGUGGCGAACGGGUGAGUAACACGUGGGCAAUCUGCCCUUCACUCUGGGACAAGCCCUGGAAACGGGGUCUAAUACCGGAUACGACUGCGGGAGGCAUCUCCUGUGGUGGAAAGCUCCGGCGGUGAAGGAUGAGCCCGCGGCCUAUCAGCUUGUUGGUGAGGUAACGGCUCACCAAGGCGACGACGGGUAGCCGGCCUGAGAGGGCGACCGGCCACACUGGGACUGAGACACGGCCCAGACUCCUACGGGAGGCAGCAGUGGGGAAUAUUGCACAAUGGGCGAAAGCCUGAUGCAGCGACGCCGCGUGAGGGAUGACGGCCUUCGGGUUGUAAACCUCUUUCAGCAGGGAAGAAGCGAAAGUGACGGUACCUGCAGAAGAAGCGCCGGCUAACUACGUGCCAGCAGCCGCGGUAAUACGUAGGGCGCAAGCGUUGUCCGGAAUUAUUGGGCGUAAAGAGCUCGUAGGCGGCUUGUCACGUCGGGUGUGAAAGCCCGGGGCUUAACCCCGGGUCUGCAUCCGAUACGGGCAGGCUAGAGUGUGGUAGGGGAGAUCGGAAUUCCUGGUGUAGCGGUGAAAUGCGCAGAUAUCAGGAGGAACACCGGUGGCGAAGGCGGAUCUCUGGGCCAUUACUGACGCUGAGGAGCGAAAGCGUGGGGAGCGAACAGGAUUAGAUACCCUGGUAGUCCACGCCGUAAACGUUGGGAACUAGGUGUUGGCGACAUUCCACGUCGUCGGUGCCGCAGCUAACGCAUUAAGUUCCCCGCCUGGGGAGUAC
Molecule: ribosomal RNA, 799 nt
Filed under: Streptomyces roseicoloratus
Lineage: Bacteria; Bacillati; Actinomycetota; Actinomycetes; Kitasatosporales; Streptomycetaceae
Description: bacterial SSU rRNA
Rfam family: Bacterial small subunit ribosomal RNA
Source: RNAcentral